AUCAUGCAGUCGAGCGGACAGAAGGGAGCUUGCUCCCGGAUGUUAGCGGCGGACGGGUGAGUAACACGUGGGUAACCUGCCUGUAAGACUGGGAUAACUCCGGGAAACCGGAGCUAAUACCGGAUAGUUCCUUGAACCGCAUGGUUCAAGGAUGAAAGACGGUUUCGGCUGUCACUUACAGAUGGACCCGCGGCGCAUUAGCUAGUUGGUGAGGUAACGGCUCACCAAGGCGACGAUGCGUAGCCGACCUGAGAGGGUGAUCGGCCACACUGGGACUGAGACACGGCCCAGACUCCUACGGGAGGCAGCAGUAGGGAAUCUUCCGCAAUGGACGAAAGUCUGACGGAGCAACGCCGCGUGAGUGAUGAAGGUUUUCGGAUCGUAAAGCUCUGUUGUUAGGGAAGAACAAGUGCAAGAGUAACUGCUUGCACCUUGACGGUACCUAACCAGAAAGCCACGGCUAACUACGUGCCAGCAGCCGCGGUAAUACGUAGGUGGCAAGCGUUGUCCGGAAUUAUUGGGCGUAAAGGGCUCGCAGGCGGUUUCUUAAGUCUGAUGUGAAAGCCCCCGGCUCAACCGGGGAGGGUCAUUGGAAACUGGGAAACUUGAGUGCAGAAGAGGAGAGUGGAAUUCCACGUGUAGCGGUGAAAUGCGUAGAGAUGUGGAGGAACACCAGUGGCGAAAGCGACUCUCUGGUCUGUAACUGACGCUGAGGAGCGAAAGCGUGGGGAGCGAACAGGAUUAGAUACCCUGUAGU
This 757-nucleotide ribosomal RNA is filed under the name Bacillus stratosphericus. RNAcentral's name for it is "bacterial SSU rRNA". It matches the Rfam family "Bacterial small subunit ribosomal RNA", at positions 52 to 794 of the family's 1533-position model. The record is from RNAcentral. Lineage: Bacteria; Bacillati; Bacillota; Bacilli; Caryophanales; Bacillaceae.